Lolium perenne is the source of this 3564-nucleotide non-coding RNA. NCBI's taxonomy places the organism in Eukaryota, Viridiplantae, Streptophyta, Magnoliopsida, Poales, Poaceae. The record is from RefSeq and is a predicted model, not a curated record.
UUGUGGAAGCUGCUAGAUACCAAGUUUUAGACGAGUUUGUGGAUUUGUAAAUGUGUAUCAGGUUCUGUUUGGAAGUAGAUAUUCAAGCCAAGGAAUUGAAAUGGGGCUUCAAAACUGAGAGGGGAAAUGGAUGAGCAUCUCGGGACGCAAAUUCAUCUAAACUGAGGCGUCUGCAAUCCUUCUUCUCUCCCACCAAUCACCCCACCGUCCUGCACCCAAAUACCCAAUCCCCUCAGCCGCCUCCUCCCCCAAUCCGCCGCCUACACGAGCAGCCCCUGGAGAAGCAGGGUCGGGACGGAGCGUGCGGCCGCUGCCCCGUGCCUCGCAUCUGGUGGAGCGUGGCCGUCUCGCGGUGCCCUCUGCUUCCCACCCGGCAGCUGCAGCACGGCAAGCACGCGCGGGGACGCGGUCGGCGGCGGCCGAACUCCACGAGCAGCCCCUGGAGAAGCAUGGCCGGGAGGGAGCGUGCGCAUCCGGUGGAGUCUAUUUAUUACCCUUCCUUAAUUUUUCUCCUUCUUCCCAUCUUUGUUUGUGCAGAUUUCGGUUGUCUACGUGACUACGCCUACAAGGGCUUCGAUUAAAAUCCAAAAAGGAUCGGAGAUACUAGCCUAUGAAUUGCAUGGCAGCUAAUUGUCAGCUAUUAAUUCUUGUUCAGCAAUGUCUGUGUACGUAUUUCAGAAACUUCUCAUGGUGCUCUACAAGUGACACUUCAUCAGAGAAAGAAAUUCAAGAGGUUCCUGAUCAUAUGAAGAUGAUUUCUAUGACCAGCCCUUUUGCUGUUUGGACGCAAGUUUUAUUGAGAGCCGCUGCUGGUUUCUUUGAUAGGGGACCAGAUGUACACAUCCACGGGAGGUGCUCUUGCUCCAAGAAAUACUUCAGAGCAACAUGGUGUGGAAGUUUCAGCAAAUGAUGUCAUCAUAAAAACAUUAUGGGAUCUUAUAAAGUCAUGAUUUCUCACCCAUACUCUCGGCGGCCCGUGAAGCUAGCGGUGAACAUAGAUACAUGAAUUUGUUUUAUGUCAAUGACAUGCUCUGCUUAAGCUUGCAGGUGCAUUGUGGACCAAAUGGUCAGCCUGGGAUUUUCGGGAGCAGCGGAUGCCAGCUAGGAGGCGGCUCAGCUUGGACCGGCGAUGGCGCUGUCGACUCCCCACUAUAUAAAAGCCUGAGGUCAUCGCCUCCAAGACCAGAAGGUCCUGCUUACUUGUUUAUUAUCGGUAUGAUAACUGCAGAUGCAAAGCAUCCAGGAUGUGAUCAGUCAUACAUUGGGUGCCGAGGGCUUUUGUUUACACUGGAGAAUGACAUUUAUCGUUCCAGUCCUUUGACAGUGCAGCUGAACUGAAGAGCUGUCAAAGAGAAGCGCGUUUCAAGAUUGCAUUGGACCUGUGUGCAGUGUAGAUAUAUGUUUUUAACAUCAUUAAAAUCAACAAUUAUGUUUAGUAUCACACAACGACUGAAAAUGAGUGAGGAUCAGGUGAGCUGCCAUGUCUACUCUCAUGUCAGUUCAGAGUUUAUAUCCUUCUGAGGGUAGUCGCAGUGAAGAGCUUUGAGUACAAAAUGACCAUCUUUGUUAAAUAUGUUUGACCUCUUACAAUUGGAUUUUACUCUUAAUUUGGUUCGUGCAUUAUAUUUGAGAAAUUAGAAAUUGUUCUUGGGUCAGUAAUCCCUUUAAUUUAUUUGUUUUUGACGUUCCAAAGUUGCUGCUUAUCUAAAGUGGGUUUUGAUUUUCUUCAUUUUCUUUUGCAGUUUUGUUAGAUAGGCUGUCAAGUUUUGGUUAUUGUACAGUGGUUUCAGUUUUGGUUUUGGUCACAACCACGCUUCUGGUGUUGUACUGGAAGCCCUUUUGGUUUUGUAUAGUGGUUUCCGCAAUAUUGCUCUUGUUGUUCGCCAUCAUCAGAGCAAGGAAACAUAAGCGCAAAUAAACAUAGUGAACGAUGUUUGUUCAAAUAAGCUCAAAAUUGGUGCUCUUUGUUCUGAAUGCUGUGACUGGAAAGUGUGCUGAACAUGGCUCCAUAUGUUCUCACUUGAAAAAUCAUUAAUCAUAGUUGAGUCGUGUUGGGGGCAGAUGGACGAAUGUUCUUAAUCAUAUCCUCAUUGAUCAUCUCAAUUGUAUUUGCUUCUGCUUUAUUCAGUUUGUUUCUUCCAAACUAAAUUACACAUGUUGUUCCUUCUCUAUUUUAUGUUUUUCCAUGCAAUUAGUUGAGCUUAAAUUCUUUGGACUCAUGUCUGCAACCGACCUAUUCUGUUCUCGGUUUGAUCGAGCUUGCACCCUGGUGAAUAUAAAGAUUUGUUGUCGUUUCAGAAGGCACAUUGCUUUCUUUAUGUUACACUCCAUUUGCAUAAUGUGCAUAUGCUUAGAAGGGUAAGCACAGAGUUUUGCGCCCCUCCAGUUUUAAAGUGUGUGAUGUCAAAAUAUUCAUAGAUAAACAAUGUUCUAAAAGGCACUCGGAUGUGGAAACCACCUGUAAAUGAAGGUUCGCGAGGACACUGGAGCUCUGGCCCCUUUUGCUACAGAUUUUGGUAUACCUUGUAUCUUGCAGUGUCCUAGGAGCUCUGGCCCCUUUUGCUACAGGUUUUGGUAUGCCUUUGUAUCUUGCAGUUUCCUAUCUCUGAAUAGCAGAGUAUGUGGAAAUGUUUCAUGAUUUCGAUGUUGGUUCUUGGGUGGUGACUUGAAGUAAAUUAUGAGUGGAUCUCCAUGGCAUUUUGGUAAAAUAGGCAAACUACAAAGAUGGACAGGGUCUCAAUCCUUAUUUUUCUUUUGGGGUCUCUUUUUGACAAAGAGUUAGGUAUGCACAUGUUUAAAAUAGGGUGUUCUUUUGUUCAUAUGUUUCCUUAUCUUUCAAUCCCACAGGUGGAUCACAUUUUGCUAUGAAUUUUAAGGGUACUGUGUGCUUGCUUGUUAGGACGACUUUAUGAUACUAUCGGAAGUAUAGAGUUAAAGCAAAACAUCAUGUAUUUAUUUCUACAUGGGAUCCCAUGUCUGCAAAUACUUAUGCUUGACCAACCAAGUUAUGUAAGGGGCCAGAUGUAUGCUGCAGGUAGUUCUUCGUGAUCCGAUUAAAUCUUUUGGCCUAUUGAGGUGUUGGAGAUGAUUGAAUUAAUGAAGUUCACUAUAUGGAGGCUACCUUUCAGUUUUACCUACAGACCAGGGUUGCAAUUUUGGAGAAAAUGGGACAUUUUGGUGACGUGUUGGUUAAGGUUUUGAAGGAUCCAUUGGCAAUGAAUUGGACGUAUCACAUAGCUGACAAUAGAAGAUAUGCAACAAGGACACAAAACUGUACAUCGGGAGCUUGCCUGCGGAGAAUCAAAGAUGGAUAUCGAGUUCUAAAUGCGAAUUGCUAUCUUUGUGUGUCCAUUGAAGGGUAUGGCACAGUGAAGAUUUUUGUUUCUAACAUUAUGUGAUCUCAGUGUGUUCAAUUUGUUUGCUUCUGAAUCUAAAAUGUUCCAUGGGUGCCCCCGCUUUGAAUUAUCAUGUUUUGCCUGCUUUGAAUUAUAGCAACACUCGAGUACCCUACCUAAUGUAGUAUUGACAUUUAACAGUAGUAUUAUUGGUUACUCUGCUUUGACA